Molecule: ribosomal RNA, 253 nt
Filed under: uncultured bacterium
Lineage: Bacteria
Description: partial 16S ribosomal RNA
Rfam family: Bacterial small subunit ribosomal RNA
Source: RNAcentral
UACGGAGGGGGCUAGCGUUGUUCGGAAUUACUGGGCGUAAAGCGCGCGUAGGCGGCCAUUUAAGUCAGAGGUGAAAGCCCGGUGCUCAACAUCGGAAUUGCCUUUGAGACUGGGUGGCUAGAAUCCAGGAGAGGUGAGUGGAAUUCCGAGUGUAGAGGUGAAAUUCGUAGAUAUUCGGAAGAACACCAGUGGCGAAGGCGGCUCACUGGACUGGUAUUGACGCUGAGGUGCGAAAGCGUGGGGAGCAAACAGG